This 490-nucleotide ribosomal RNA is filed under the name Salmonella enterica subsp. enterica serovar Muenchen. RNAcentral's name for it is "bacterial SSU rRNA". It matches the Rfam family "Bacterial small subunit ribosomal RNA", at positions 1 to 480 of the family's 1533-position model. The record is from RNAcentral. Lineage: Bacteria; Pseudomonadati; Pseudomonadota; Gammaproteobacteria; Enterobacterales; Enterobacteriaceae.
AAAUUGAAGAGUUUGAUCAUGGCUCAGAUUGAACGCUGGCGGCAGGCCUAACACAUGCAAGUCGAACGGUAACAGGAAGCAGCUUGCUGCUUCGCUGACGAGUGGCGGACGGGUGAGUAAUGUCUGGGAAACUACCUGAUGGAGGGGGAUAACUACUGGAAACGGUGGCUAAUACCGCAUAACGUCGCAAGACCAAAGAGGGGGACCUUCGGGCCUCUUGCCAUCAGAUGUGCCCAGAUGGGAUUAGCUUGUUGGUGAGGUAACGGCUCACCAAGGCGACGAUCCCUAGCUGGUCUGAGAGGAUGACCAGCCACACUGGAACUGAGACACGGUCCAGACUCCUACGGGAGGCAGCAGUGGGGAAUAUUGCACAAUGGGCGCAAGCCUGAUGCAGCCAUGCCGCGUGUAUGAAGAAGGCCUUCGGGUUGUAAAGUACUUUCAGCGGGGAGGAAGGUGUUGCGGUUAAUAACCGCAGCAAUUGACGUUACCC